This 465-nucleotide ribosomal RNA is filed under the name uncultured bacterium. RNAcentral describes it as "partial 16S ribosomal RNA". It matches the Rfam family "Bacterial small subunit ribosomal RNA", at positions 338 to 795 of the family's 1533-position model. The record is from RNAcentral.
CCUACGUGAGGCUGCAGUAGGGAAUCUUCCACAAUGGGCGAAAGCCUGAUGGAGCAACGCCGCGUGGGUGAAGAAGGUCUUCGGAUCGUAAAACCCUGUUGUUAGAGAAGAAAGUGCGUGAGAGUAACUGUUCACGUUUCGACGGUAUCUAACCAGAAAGCCACGGCUAACUACGUGCCAGCAGCCGCGGUAAUACGUAGGUGGCAAGCGUUAUCCGGAUUUAUUGGGCGUAAAGGGAACGCAGGCGGUCUUUUAAGUCUGAUGUGAAAGCCUUCGGCUUAACCGGAGUAGUGCAUUGGAAACUGGGAGACUUGAGUGCAGAAGAGGAGAGUGGAACUCCAUGUGUAGCGGUGAAAUGCGUAGAUAUAUGGAAGAACACCAGUGGCGAAAGCGGCUCUCUGGUCUGUAACUGACGCUGAGGUUCGAAAGCGUGGGUAGCAAACAGGAUUAGAUACCCCAGUAGUC